Molecule: ribosomal RNA, 3065 nt
Filed under: Salmonella enterica subsp. enterica serovar Enteritidis str. EC20090135
Lineage: Bacteria; Pseudomonadati; Pseudomonadota; Gammaproteobacteria; Enterobacterales; Enterobacteriaceae
Description: 23S ribosomal RNA
Rfam family: Bacterial large subunit ribosomal RNA
Source: RNAcentral
GGGUUGUGAGGUUAAGCGACUAAGCGUACACGGUGGAUGCCCUGGCAGUCAGAGGCGAUGAAGGGCGUGCUAAUCUGCGAUAAGCGCCGGUAAGGUGAUAUGAACCGUUAUAACCGGCGAUACCCGAAUGGGGAAACCCAGUGUGAUUCGUCACACUAUCAUUAACUGAAUCCAUAGGUUAAUGAGGCGAACCGGGGGAACUGAAACAUCUAAGUACCCCGAGGAAAAGAAAUCAACCGAGAUUCCCCCAGUAGCGGCGAGCGAACGGGGAGGAGCCCAGAGCCUGAAUCAGCAUGUGUGUUAGUGGAAGCGUCUGGAAAGGCGCGCGAUACAGGGUGACAGCCCCGUACACAAAAGCGCAUGUGCUGUGAGCUCGAUGAGUAGGGCGGGACACGUGGUAUCCUGUCUGAAUAUGGGGGGACCAUCCUCCAAGGCUAAAUACUCCUGACUGACCGAUAGUGAACCAGUACCGUGAGGGAAAGGCGAAAAGAACCCCGGCGAGGGGAGUGAAAAAGAACCUGAAACCGUGUACGUACAAGCAGUGGGAGCCCCACCACCAAAGCAUUUGCUGUACCGCGUUGACGGAGCGAAGCGACGUCAAACCGAUAAAACAGCAGUNNNNNNNNNNNNNNNNNNNNNNNNNNNNNNNNNNNNNNNNNNNNNNNNNNNNNNNNNNNNNNNNNNNNNNNNNNNNNNNNNNNUGACUGCGUACCUUUUGUAUAAUGGGUCAGCGACUUAUAUUCUGUAGCAAGGUUAACCGAAUAGGGGAGCCGGAGGGAAACCGAGUCUUAAUUGGGCGUUAAGUUGCAGGGUAUAGACCCGAAACCCGGUGAUCUAGCCAUGGGCAGGUUGAAGGUUGGGUAACACUAACUGGAGGACCGAACCGACUAAUGUUGAAAAAUUAGCGGAUGACCUGUGGCUGGGGGUGAAAGGCCAAUCAAACCGGGAGAUAGCUGGUUCUCCCCGAAAGCUAUUUAGGUAGCGCCUCGUGAAUUCAUCUCCGGGGGUAGAGCACUGUUUCGGCUAGGGGGCCAUCCCGGCUUACCAACCCGAUGCAAACUGCGAAUACCGGAGAAUGUUAUCACGGGAGACACACGGCGGGUGCUAACGUCCGUCGUGAAGAGGGAAACAACCCAGACCGCCAGCUAAGGUCCCAAAGUCAUGGUUAAGUGGGAAACGAUGUGGGAAGGCCCAGACAGCCAGGAUGUUGGCUUAGAAGCAGCCAUCAUUUAAAGAAAGCGUAAUAGCUCACUGGUCGAGUCGGCCUGCGCGGAAGAUGUAACGGGGCUAAACCAUGCACCGAAGCUGCGGCAGCGACACUGUGUGUUGUUGGGUAGGGGAGCGUUCUGUAAGCCUGUGAAGGUGUGUCGUGAGGCAUGCUGGAGGUAUCAGAAGUGCGAAUGCUGACAUAAGUAACGAUAAAGCGGGUGAAAAGCCCGCUCGCCGGAAGACCAAGGGUUCCUGUCCAACGUUAAUCGGGGCAGGGUGAGUCGACCCCUAAGGCGAGGCCGAAAGGCGUAGUCGAUGGGAAACGGGUUAAUAUUCCCGUACUUGGUGUUACUGCGAAGGGGGGACGGAGAAGGCUAUGUUGGCCGGGCGACGGUUGUCCCGGUUUAAGCGUGUAGGUGUGUGUUCCAGGUAAAUCCGGUUCACUUUAACACUGAGGCGUGACGACGAGGCACUACGGUGCUGAAGCAACAAAUGCCCUGCUUCCAGGAAAAGCCUCUAAGCAUCAGGUAACAUCAAAUCGUACCCCAAACCGACACAGGUGGUCAGGUAGAGAAUACCAAGGCGCUUGAGAGAACUCGGGUGAAGGAACUAGGCAAAAUGGUGCCGUAACUUCGGGAGAAGGCACGCUGACACGUAGGUGAAGUGAUUUACUCAUGGAGCUGAAGUCAGUCGAAGAUACCAGCUGGCUGCAACUGUUUAUUAAAAACACAGCACUGUGCAAACACGAAAGUGGACGUAUACGGUGUGACGCCUGCCCGGUGCCGGAAGGUUAAUUGAUGGGGUCAGCGCAAGCGAAGCUCCUGAUCGAAGCCCCGGUAAACGGCGGCCGUAACUAUAACGGUCCUAAGGUAGCGAAAUUCCUUGUCGGGUAAGUUCCGACCUGCACGAAUGGCGUAAUGAUGGCCAGGCUGUCUCCACCCGAGACUCAGUGAAAUUGAACUCGCUGUGAAGAUGCAGUGUACCCGCGGCAAGACGGAAAGACCCCGUGAACCUUUACUAUAGCUUGACACUGAACAUUGAGCCUUGAUGUGUAGGAUAGGUGGGAGGCUUUGAAGUGUGGACGCCAGUCUGCAUGGAGCCGACCUUGAAAUACCACCCUUUAAUGUUUGAUGUUCUAACGUGGACCCGUUACCCGGGUUGCGGACAGUGUCUGGUGGGUAGUUUGACUGGGGCGGUCUCCUCCUAAAGAGUAACGGAGGAGCACGAAGGUUGGCUAAUCCUGGUCGGACAUCAGGAGGUUAGUGCAAUGGCAUAAGCCAGCUUGACUGCGAGCGUGACGGCGCGAGCAGGUGCGAAAGCAGGUCAUAGUGAUCCGGUGGUUCUGAAUGGAAGGGCCAUCGCUCAACGGAUAAAAGGUACUCCGGGGAUAACAGGCUGAUACCGCCCAAGAGUUCAUAUCGACGGCGGUGUUUGGCACCUCGAUGUCGGCUCAUCACAUCCUGGGGCUGAAGUAGGUCCCAAGGGUAUGGCUGUUCGCCAUUUAAAGUGGUACGCGAGCUGGGUUUAGAACGUCGUGAGACAGUUCGGUCCCUAUCUGCCGUGGGCGCUGGAGAACUGAGGGGGGCUGCUCCUAGUACGAGAGGACCGGAGUGGACGCAUCACUGGUGUUCGGGUUGUCAUGCCAAUGGCACUGCCCGGUAGCUAAAUGCGGAAGAGAUAAGUGCUGAAAGCAUCUAAGCACGAAACUUGCCCCGAGAUGAGUUCUCCCUGAGACUUAGAGUCUCCUGAAGGAACGUUGAAGACGACGACGUUGAUAGGCCGGGUGUGUAAGCGCAGCGAUGCGUUGAGCUAACCGGUACUAAUGAACCGUGAGGCUUAACCUUACAACGCCGAAG